GCGUUGGUGGUUCAGGGGUAAAAUUCUCACCUUCCAUGCAGAAGACCCGGGUUCAAUUCCUGGCCAAUGCA
Molecule: transfer RNA, 71 nt
Filed under: Loxodonta africana (African savanna elephant)
Lineage: Eukaryota; Metazoa; Chordata; Mammalia; Proboscidea; Elephantidae
Rfam family: tRNA
About the family: Transfer RNA (tRNA) molecules are approximately 80 nucleotides in length.
Source: Rfam by way of RNAcentral